Small nucleolar RNA from Acomys russatus (golden spiny mouse), 145 nucleotides. RefSeq annotates it as small nucleolar RNA SNORA48. The transcript has a single exon. Lineage: Eukaryota; Metazoa; Chordata; Mammalia; Rodentia; Muridae. The record is from RefSeq and is a predicted model, not a curated record.
AGCCCCCUGGCAAUGGACAAAGAGAGACCUUGCUGGGGGUGGUGUUCUUACAUCAGGCAGGGGCAGGGCAGAUGGCAGUCCUUUGUUCAUCCUUGCUUGAUACCUGGCUUGGUGGCCAAAGUUAUUUUAUGCCUAGGACACAUAA